CAAAGUUAAACAAUUCUUCAAUCCAAGCUCACUUUUUCCUUUCCUAUGAAUAUUGUGCCAAGCAUGCACCAUCCUAGCCUUCAAUCCUUGAGUGUAUUUCCCAUCUUAGAAAAAUAAACCCUCUAACAAAGUGGUAUUAGAUUUGUCCUUCAUAGCGAACCCAAGUUGACGUCUUGCCAAAGUCGGAUUAUAGUUGAUUCCUCCUUGUGUACCAAGAAAAGGCACAUUAG
RNAcentral lists this long non-coding RNA (230 nucleotides) under Lathyrus oleraceus (garden pea). Its description in RNAcentral is "Pisum sativum (pea) long non-coding RNA (PSAT_LNC024633)". The record is from RNAcentral. Lineage: Eukaryota; Viridiplantae; Streptophyta; Magnoliopsida; Fabales; Fabaceae.